UCUUAGACAUCGAUACAAUCCUCCAGAAUGCCAGUUGUCUUGCCUGCUUGUCACAGAGUACUCAAGGAGGUUUGUAGAAGGUUGCCGGGUUUUUCACCCGCUGAAGUGUUGGAUUUUGGUGCUGGCAUGGGUUUGGCUUUCUGGGCACUAUGAGAAGUCUGGCCGAAUUCCUUGGAGAAAGUUAACUUAGUAGAGUCAUCACAAUCAAUGCAGCGUGCAGGCCAGAGCCUUAUACAAGGUACACCUUUUGUGGGCUGGCAACAAUGAUUCUGAUCAAUGAGGUCAAUUGUUUGGACUUGCCUAGACUAAUUGAUUGGUUGGUAUUUCGACAAGGGAAGGAAUGUGGAUUUCAGGGGAGGACUAAUAAGUUAGUUGAUGGUUGCUACUCUUUCUGGCAGGGAAGUGCAUUUGCAUUAUUACAAAGAAUACCUUCAGUUAGUGAGGAGCAAAUUGUGCUACUGGAUGUGGGACACUGCAAUUUGGAUACCUCACACACUUCUACAACAUCUCGUAUAUCUGAAGUGGACAACAGUUCUGAAGGUACUUCAUCUCAGGUUGAUGACACCAGAGG
Molecule: long non-coding RNA, 571 nt
Organism: Rosa chinensis
Lineage: Eukaryota; Viridiplantae; Streptophyta; Magnoliopsida; Rosales; Rosaceae
Exons: 6
Source: RefSeq, a predicted model, not a curated record